GUCUACUUUGGCACACAUACACUAAAAUUAGAACAUUACAGAGAAGAUUACCAUGGUGCCUGCUCAGCGAUAGCAUGCAAAUUCAUAAAGGCUUUCAUAUUUUU
Lutra lutra (Eurasian river otter) is the source of this 104-nucleotide small nuclear RNA. The record is from RefSeq and is a predicted model, not a curated record. NCBI's taxonomy places the organism in Eukaryota, Metazoa, Chordata, Mammalia, Carnivora, Mustelidae.